This 555-nucleotide unclassified non-coding RNA is filed under the name Hevea brasiliensis (rubber tree). The record is from RNAcentral. Lineage: Eukaryota; Viridiplantae; Streptophyta; Magnoliopsida; Malpighiales; Euphorbiaceae.
UAAGGAUUUAAACCACAACUCCAUAAGCUCUUGUGGGCUUUCUUUUCUUUCCCAAUUAAUUUACUUGCUAGAUUAGGGGUGAGAACUGAACCCAAAACACCCACACACGCACAUAAAUAUAUUAAGAAUUUUUUAAUACAAUCACAAUCCAUCACUUAUAGUACCACCCACCGCCACUAUAUGGCCACUACCAAAGUUCAACCAAUAUAAAAUAUUUAUUAAAUUUAUAUUAUUAUUUAUAAAAGUAAAUGUGAUAAUUAGCUUUUUAAUCAUUAUCCUAUUUUUAUUAUACUCUGAAAACUAUUAAAAGCUAAGGAACCAUAAAACUUUAAUCCUUUCACCUGCUAUGGGACAAGAACUCGAAAAAUACAAUACUAAUUUAAUAGCUUAAUCAUUGCAUCUUUAAUAAUGUACUUACGUAACGUUUCAGCCACAUUCAUUGAAAGAAAGGGACAAGACUACCUCAUUAUAGUGGUGUAUUAAUCUAACCACUAUAUUGAUAUCACUAAGCAACAUCAUUUAGGACAACUAUAGAGGCAAGCUUCACAACUUGAA